Molecule: ribosomal RNA, 482 nt
Filed under: uncultured bacterium
Lineage: Bacteria
Description: bacterial SSU rRNA
Rfam family: Bacterial small subunit ribosomal RNA
Source: RNAcentral
GAUGAACGCUAGCGGCAGGCUUAAUACAUGCAAGUCAAGGGGGUAGCAAUACAACCGGCGCACGGGUGAGUAACGCGUACACAACAUACCAUAUACUGGGGUAUAGCUUUGGGAAACUGAAGGUAAUCCCCCAUAACAUUGCGAGAGGGCAUCUGAUUGCAAUUAAAGUUUCGGCGGUAUAUGAUUGGUGUGCGUUUGAUUAGCUAGUUGGUAGGGUAACGGCCUACCAAGGCGACGAUCAAUAGCUGGCGUGAGAGCGCGACCAGCCACACUGGAACUGAGACACGGUCCAGACUCCUACGGGAGGCAGCAGUAGGGAAUAUUGGACAAUGGGCGCAAGCCUGAUCCAGCCAUGCCGCGUGAUAGAUGAAGGCCCUCUGGGUUGUAAAUAUCUUUUAUCUGGGAAGAAACUCCUCUAUUCUUAGAGGCCUGACGGUACCAGAGGAAUAAGCACCGGCUAACUCCGUGCCAGCAGCCGACGG